AACGAACGCUGGCGGCAUGCCUAACACAUGCAAGUCGAACGAAGCCUUCGGGCUUAGUGGCGCACGGGUGCGCAACGCGUGGGAAUCUGCCCUUGGGUUCGGAAUAACAGUUAGAAAUGACUGCUAAUACCGAAUGAAUGUCUUCGGACCAAAGAUUUAUCGCCCAAGGAUGAGCCCGCGUCAGAUUAGCUAGUUGGUGAGGUAAAGGCUCACCAAGGCGACGAUCCGUAGCUGGUCUGAGAGGAUGAUCAGCCACACUGGGACUGAGACACGGCCCCAGACUCCUACGGGAGGCAGCAGUGGGGGAAUAAUUGGACAAUGGGCGAAAGCCUGAUCCAGCAAUGCCGCGUGAGUGAUGAAGGCCGUUAAGGGUUGUAAAGGCUC
RNAcentral lists this ribosomal RNA (384 nucleotides) under uncultured bacterium. RNAcentral describes it as "bacterial SSU rRNA". It matches the Rfam family "Bacterial small subunit ribosomal RNA", at positions 29 to 433 of the family's 1533-position model. The record is from RNAcentral.